CCCUUAGAUGCUCUGGGCCGCACGCGCGCUACACUGGUCGAUGCAACGAGUUUCUUUCCUUGGCCGACAGGCCUGGGCAAUCUUUGAACAUCGAUCGUGAUCGGGAUAGAUUCUUGUAAUUUUUGAUCUUAAACGAGGAAUUCCUAGUAAACGCAAGUCAUCAGCUUGCAUUGAUUACGUCCCUGCCCUUUGUACACACCGCCCGUCGCACCUACCGAUUGAACGGUCCGGUGAAAUCUUGGGAUUUGCUUUGCUUUCGUUUAUUCGAUGCUCGGCGAAGAACUUGAGUAAACCUUACCGUUUAGAGGAAGGUGAAGUCGUAACA
RNAcentral lists this ribosomal RNA (325 nucleotides) under uncultured eukaryote. RNAcentral's name for it is "partial 18S ribosomal RNA". It matches the Rfam family "Eukaryotic small subunit ribosomal RNA", at positions 1470 to 1796 of the family's 1831-position model. The record is from RNAcentral.